AAAUGCACCGUGUAUUAGAAAUGUGGCACAUCCCACCUGGGACUGCAGUUCAUGAAAUGAGGAGGGAAAGUGACCCUGAGACCAUCCUCAGAAUUAAUUUUCUCUCUUUUGGUACCAGCAGCCACCCUCAGGGGAAAAUCGGCCACCAUUUUUCUGAGAGAUUACCAGUAUAAUGUCAUAUAUAUGAGUGCAGAAGGAAAAAGAAGUUCCUGAAACCAUUUCUCAUUUAACCUAUGGUCUGUAUUGGUCCAGCUGAAGCUGGUAUCUUCUACUGCACCUUCAUCACCAACCCCGAGCUCUCUGUACGCCUGCGCCGCUGCCGUUGUUGCUGUAUUGGGAUGGUUUCCCUGCAAAGCCGACAGCAAAGGACCGUCUCUGGUCAGCUUUGCAGAGCCUCUUUGCAUUGCGUCCUGUAGGGGCCUGAGACUCCCCCCGUGGGCGGGAAUUUUGUGUGGUUGCUCAUGAGUUUUACUUAGGUUUCAGCAACUGACCUUCUGGGGCAGGGCCAUGGCGCGCAGGGGCAGGAGUCAAGAGCCUGUUUGUCCCUCGGCAGUACCACUUAGAAGUUAUAGCGCUUUAAAUCUUCAACAAGUGGCAAGCUGUGAUUUUUAUCUUUACAGUCUCUCAGGAAGUUCAUCAUCAAAACCACAGACCACAGCACAAAAGGGCAAUCAUUUACUCACAGCGGGCGCUGUAUUACAGGCGCCGUUACCAGGCAAUGGAGACAUGCCCAUUCGUGAUAAAUUUUCCAUUCCUUCAGAAAGGCCAAGAAGAAAAUACCUGAUGGAGGGAUUUAUGUGGUUUCUGUAUUCUCUUGCUCUCUCUUCCUCUUUUCCUUUCUGUCUUCCGAAUUUCACAAAAGCCUUGGUCUGAUCUUGCAGUAAGGCUGGUUUUGUGGCAUCGCUGCUGAGCUGCACUGCUCCAGUGGGUGAGCGGAUUGUCCUUUGCCCAGGAGACAGGGAACACAAGGGAUAAAGGGAUUCCAUAGGUGCUCCCAAGCAGGAGAGGCCAGGAAGCAGCUCCCCUUCCAUAACAGCCUGAACAAACAAGAAAAACCGCAAAAAGAAAGAGGCUGAACAUGGAGGCUGGGCUAAAAAUCCUUUUUUUAUUCAGACACAGCCUGCCUCUGACGGCAAUUGUCGCAAUCGCCUAAGGACGACCCCCUCAGAGGAGCAAGAUUUUGCAGGAAUAAUCUAGAAAUUAAUGCAGUGCCCAGAACAUCGCAGCUUUUCUUUGCUCCUUCUUUACUUCUUCAAUGGCAAAAGCUGGAAACUUGGAGCCUUUGAGCAGUUGUAUUGCUGUCAAAAGGCCUCCAACGUGGAGGAUUUCUAAACCAAAAGUGACCUCCAGUGGUCACCCACAUUAUUUAUGGCUGAGGUCUGGUAUUUGUCUUCCCCUGGUUAGAGAUGAGGCGAUGUGGUAACUAACAGCCCGCAGCAACCGCGCUCAAUUAAAUUGGACACAAGCAUCCCUGAAAGCAGGACGGCGGGAGUGUUGGAGCAGACACACCUCCUGAUCGCUCGCUGGCCUCACAGCAGCCGGGCAGCAUGUUCCUCACCCUGCCAUACACUUCAACGAAACUUCUCAGCUCAUCCUACGCUGCCUACAUGCAUCCAUCUGAACGCAGGAGUACCUUUAAAA
Chroicocephalus ridibundus (black-headed gull) is the source of this 1641-nucleotide long non-coding RNA. RefSeq lists it as uncharacterized. The transcript is spliced from 3 exons. Lineage: Eukaryota; Metazoa; Chordata; Aves; Charadriiformes; Laridae. The record is from RefSeq and is a predicted model, not a curated record.